This 443-nucleotide ribosomal RNA is filed under the name uncultured bacterium. Its description in RNAcentral is "partial 16S ribosomal RNA". It matches the Rfam family "Bacterial small subunit ribosomal RNA", at positions 338 to 795 of the family's 1533-position model. The record is from RNAcentral.
CCUACGGGUGGCUGCAGUGGGGAAUAUUGGGCAAUGGGGGCAACCCUGACCCAGCAACGCCGCGUGAGUGAAGAAGGCCCUCGGUUUGUAAACUUCUUUUGUCAGGGACGAAACAAAUGACGGUACCUGACGAAUACGCCACGGCUAACUACGUACCAGCAGCCGCGGUAAUACGUAGGUGGCAAGCGUUAUCCGUAUUUACUGGGUGUAAGGGGCGUGUAGGCGGGAGAGCAAGUCAGAUGUGAAAUUCCAGGGCUCAACCCUGGAACUGCAUUUGAAACUGUGUUUCUUGAGUGAUGGAGAGGUAGGCGGAAUUCCGGGUGUAGCGGUGAAAUGCGUAGAGAUACGGAGGAACACCAGUGGCGAAGGCGGCCUGCUGGACAGUAACUGACGUUGAGGCUCGAAAGCGUGGGGAGCAAACAGGAUUAGAUACCCGUGUAGUC